RNAcentral lists this ribosomal RNA (462 nucleotides) under uncultured bacterium. RNAcentral's name for it is "partial 16S ribosomal RNA". It matches the Rfam family "Bacterial small subunit ribosomal RNA", at positions 28 to 507 of the family's 1533-position model. The record is from RNAcentral.
GACGAACGCUGGCGGCGUGCUUAACACAUGCAAGUCGAACGGAAAGGCCCUUCGGGGUACUCUAGUGGCGAACGGGUGAGUAACACGUUGGUGAUCUGCCCUGCACUUUGGGAUAAGCCUGGGAAACUGGGUCUAAUACCGAAUAGGACCACGCGCUUCAUGGUGUGUGGUUGAAAGCUUUUGCGGUGUGGGAUGGGCCCGCGGCCUAUCAGCUUGUUGGUGGGGUAAUGGCCUACCAAGGCGACGACGGGUAGCCGGCCUGAGAGGGUGACCGGCCACACUGGGACUGAGAUACGGCGCAGAAUCCUACGGGAGGCAGCAGUGGGGAAUAUUGCACAAUGGGCGCAAGCCUGAUGCAGCGACGCCGCGUGAGGGAUGACGGCCUUCGGGUUGUAAACCUCUUUCACCAGGGACGAAGCGUAAGUGACGGUACCUGGAGAAGAAGCACCGGCCAACUACGUG